CGGAGAGUCGUAUAGUGGUAGUACGCGUGCUUUGGGAGCAUGUAGUCCGGGUUCGAUUCCCGGCUCUCCGACCA
RNAcentral lists this transfer RNA (74 nucleotides) under Candidatus Moraniibacteriota bacterium. RNAcentral describes it as "Candidatus Moranbacteria bacterium tRNA-Pro". It matches the Rfam family "tRNA". Rfam says of the family: Transfer RNA (tRNA) molecules are approximately 80 nucleotides in length. Lineage: Bacteria; Candidatus Moraniibacteriota. The record is from RNAcentral.